UUGUGUUAUUUGGUUGCUUGUGUGAUCUUUUUGGUCAUUCUCAGAGUUCUAUUCUUUAAUUUUGUUAUUAAGGUUCCAACCUUUUACUAAUUCUGUGAUUUCUUGCUUAUGGUUCUCUGAUUUUCGUGCAUAUUGUGUUUAAUAGGUCUAAUUAUUCAUUGUUUACGCAAAUCUUCUGUUAAUUUUGUGCAUCUCUCCGAAUCCCUGAUUUUUAUGUUUUCCUUGAAGUUUUCCACUGAUUUUGAAUCAUCUCCUUAUUUGUGAGAUGCUUUCUUUACUUAGUACUGAUUCGCUAUGAUUUUCAAUCUCAUCCGUGAUUCUUUGAACUAAUUUGUUUUCUAAUUCGACUUGCAAUCUGCUUGUUUAUGUGUACAAUAUGCUAUAAUUAUUAUACUUUCCUUACUUGAAAAUAUUCUGUACUUAGUCCUAUUACAUGAAUCAUGCUUUUACUAUUCCUAUUAUGGAAAUAUCAUUCUUGCACACAAUUAUUUUCCUUAUUUAAUACAAUUUGUACCCGUUUGAACUGUGCCUCCCUAAUUGAUGGUAGUCCGAGUCUUUAAUUGAUUCUAGUUGGUAUUAUUUCUAUAAUUGUGAUCAUUCUAUACGUGUUACCUUAUUUUUCAUUUGUUUUCAAAACUAUAAAUAGUCUACCCUCUCUUUAGCAUAACGCACUAACAAUCACUCAUUUGAACUCUCUUACACAUAUAAGCAUACUCAAUGUUCUAUCUUAUUUUUCUACACAUUCUCUUUCACUUCUCUUAUUGACUACUAGUUACGUUGUCGGAUGAAAUCCAAGACUAAGUAAUUUGUUAUUCCAGUGGUUUAUUGCUCUAUACAUUGCUCUCUCUUGAUCUGCACACCCUGUUCUACUUUCCUGCACACUACCGUUCUAUAUUAUCUCACUCUUGACUGGUAUGUCUUCUAUUUGAUUUACAGUUUUCAAAACAAAAUGUUUUUAUGUAUAUUGCACUUCCUCUUGUUUCUUUUAUGCUUCUACUUAUGGUUAUGCUGCUCUCAUUGCAAUUAGCAUGCCUCUGUACUAGUUCAUUGAUGUGACUAUCUUCCCUUAAUUCUGCAUGUCUACUGCUUCCUUUAUUUGUUUAAUACAGUUCUUCCUUACCCCCUAAGCCAAUACAUUAUCAGCAUGGAAUCCUGAAACUUUUUGGGACGAAAGGUGUUGUGACUAUUUAAAUGUUUUCUCUGAUAUCUAUGCUCUUACAUGUGAACUACUCGUUCCCAUUCCCCUUUCCCCUGUUUGUGUUUGCUUCCUUAAACUAUGUGUGGUAUUCUAGUUCUGGGAUUGUCAUACUCACCUUCUUACAAACUAUCACACUAUUCCAUUGUCUCUUUCAAAAACUGAUUCUAUAUAGAUCAUCUUUUAAAACUCUUUUCUUUCUCAACUCAAUUUCUUUAAGACUCUAUAACAUACUCUCACUACUCUUAGAGAUUAG
This 1451-nucleotide long non-coding RNA is filed under the name Nicotiana benthamiana. Its description in RNAcentral is "long non-coding RNA (NBEN_LNC025093)". Lineage: Eukaryota; Viridiplantae; Streptophyta; Magnoliopsida; Solanales; Solanaceae. The record is from RNAcentral.